CUGCCAUCCCCUUACCCCCUCCACUGCUGGGUUACAGAUUGUCCUGCCAGUUGUGUUUGUCUGCAUUGCCCUGCUGUUCAGCCUGAUUGUGCCACCCUUUGGUAAGUACCCUAGCCUGGAACUUUAGCCCUGGAUGUACAAUGAGCAGUGUACGUUUGUCAGGUACGUGUUUGUCUUCUGAGCCCAGGGGAGAGGAGGAUUCAAGUAGAUCAAGGGUGAUCACUGUGCUGAGGGUCAAAAGAAUAGAGUCAAGAAUUGCACAGUGGAAGGGGUUUUACCAGCUGUGGCUCAGGCCCCUAUGCAAGCUACUACUGCAUGCAAAGAAUAGAGAACUACUGAAAUAACAGUCUAGUUUUCUGGUGAGUACUUCAGUCAAUAUCUCUAACUGCUGUUUGAUGAACCCAGCCUAAUUCCAUUUUAAGAUUAGGAGCCAUCUCAUCACAAAGUCAUGGAAAGUUAAUUUCUGUUUUACUAUAAAUUACUGCGAUUUCUAAACUUGUUUGGAAUUUCUGCCCAUGCCUUGAACUUACCCAUGCCUGGCUUUCCCUGACCAGAUAACAACACUCUCUAAAACCUUAGUGGCACCUCGUAAAUCCUGGCUCCCCAUGACCAGAUAACAACCCUCUCUGAAACCUCAGUGGCGCCUUAUAAAUUUUGAUGUUGGGAUCUAAAUUUUUUCCCUACCUUGAAAUGUUAAGCCAGGUAGAUCAUUAACCUACUAUAUGCCUUUGUAUUAUGCUUGUCGAAAUCCUUUUAUCUGUAAGUUAACAACCCCUCUUUGCAACUUUUUGUGCUAUAAAACUAUGUUCCUAGAGAGCUGGGGUACUGAUUUCUAGUCCAGAGUUUUGGGAGAGACAGUCCUGGCUAGCUACUGUGUACACAAAUAUAAGCUUGCUUUAAAUUGAUUGAAAGUUGGAGUCAGUGGUCUUUUCUUUCCGUCGUGGUUUAAUACUGUUGUGGGGAACAACCAUAUGUGCCUUAGGUAAAGUAAUCUGCCCUCAAUAAAAAUCUAUGAUUAUUAAAUUUUUAGAAAUGUGCUUUAAUUUCAUGUUCAUCACAGGGCUUUCCUACACUGCAUAAAUUUCCACAAACUUGAUUUCUGCACAGUGUGAUUCUCAUAAUUGUUAUCUGUUAAGCUGUACUUAUUAGCUAGUUUGUAUUCUUUAGACAAAAAUAUCUUUAACUCCAUAGCAAUCUAGUGCUUUAAUUAAGAACAAACGAAUUAUAUGAAUGUUGUUAGGCAAGCUUUUUAUUUUUAGUCCUGUAAGAUUAAUGGCUCUGCUGACAGGGAAGUAUGCUAGUAAUACAGAAGAGAAAGGAAGCUUUUUUAAACAAAAUUCCUACACACACGCACACACGCAUGCACUCAUGUAUUUAUUAGCUCAUUUGCUUUCUUCGAACUCUGUUUUCCAAGCUUAGGUUGUGUUUCCCAGAGCUAUAGAACACAGUUUAUUUUGUGUUUGUUACCUAUACCCAUUAUUGUUUGUGCUUUCUAUUUUCAAUGCAACUACUUGGUCAAUAAAAUCUGUAUACCUUUUCCAGGAAAAUCCUGAUGUAUGUCGAUAAUGGAUAAUUGUGAAAGCCCCUUCUAAAUACUGAUUUUUAAUAUACUGACAUUUAAUACACACACAUAUACACAUACCUUCAUACAUAUUUAUAAAACCUCUAAUUUGGAGUAUUCUAUAUUACCUUGAUGCCAAAUAUUUGGGCAGAGUCUCAGUUUUUCAUAGGUGGUUUCUAUAUUUUAUUCAUUUUGAUUUUAAAACCUGGCUCCCAGAAAGUGCUUAGUAGAUUAUUCUAUGUAGAAAAACAUUUCUUCCUCCCAAUUCCUGAUUUGAAUGAAUUACUGAAUUUGCUUGUAGUUACAGUAAUAAUGCUUCUGAAGACAUAGGCUCCCAGGAACUCUUGAAUACCCUCUCCAGAACACCCUUGCUUUGGGACCUAAAGUAUGGAGAAUGCCAUGUUGGCCACGAGAUUCUCCAUGGCUGGCUUCUUAUGCUUGUCACCUGCUUUGAUUUCUGAUACACUAAAAUUUACCAGCUACAUGCCACAUUAUCAUCAUCAUUUGCCCUUUGAGUUAUUUUUUAUUCUAAAGAGAGUAACUAUAGUAACUUACUCAGAACAUCUGGGAGUAAACAUUUGGAGAGUCUAACAUCCUGGGAAGCAAAUCAUUAUAGACCUUUUUUCACUGCUUUAGAACAUUAAGAUUUAUGUAGCACUUCAUAUUUACUUGUCAAAUGCUUUCUCCUUCUUCCACUUUUCCCAAGUCUUUCACCUACCUGGUACAACAGGCUUUCAUUAUAUAUAAUCUGAAGUUUUGUUGAAUUCUUCCCAUGAAACCUGAAAAUAUCAUACAUUAACUUUUUAUAAUAAUCAAUUUCUUCUUAAGAGUUUCAUAUUUUUAUUAUACUGUCCAUCAGAAUCCCUUUUUAAGGCCUAUAUAAAUUCAGUGAUGACUCAGGAUUCCAACUAUGUUGGUGGGGGAAUGUAAGUCAGAUCACUGAGUAAAGACCAUGAGAAUAGGUAGGCAAUUAUGAGUCCAGUGAUGGCAUGUUUUCAACUCCCUGGGUACAAAGACAAAAGAGACACUGCACCUGAUGCGAAGAGUUCUGUGUUAGUGAAGAACACCACUGAUGUGUGUUGGAGACUAAAUGAAGGAAGAGACUCUGCCCUGACAACUUUGAAUGAAAUUCAAAUGUUAAAGUGUUUGAAUCUGUGUUGGGAUUGAGGGAAAUCUGACUAGGACAUGCCCAUGGGUAUUUAAAUUUUUCUCACCAGUCAUCUUUUAAAAGUUUGCACUACAAGAGGGUACUGUAACUAGUUUGGCUUUUCUAUUUAUUUAAGGAACGUUAAAGAUAACAAACCUCAAAAUUAUUCAUUUGAUGGAUUAUUCAGUACAUAUGAAAAUAACAAAUAUUGUGGCUCUUUAUCGAAUUCUGGAACUGGAAGAGACAUAGGUACAACUCAAUGAAACAACUCAUAUUUUAAUUUUACUAGUGAAGAAAAUAAUCCUACAGAGAGGGCAAGUGACUUGCUGAUGUUUUCUCAGUAAUUCAGAGCUUAAGUCUGAGAUAAAAUCUCCUGGGGUAUUUUAAACAACCUAGCUUUCCUAUACCAAGCACUGUGUCUUAUUCCACUCAGGCUGCUAUUUUAACAACACACAACAAGAUGAGUGGUUUAUAAACAACAAACAUUUAUUCUCAUACUUCUGGAGGCUGCAGAUUCCAAGAUCAGGAUGCUGGCAGAUUUGGUGUCUGGUGUAAAGAUCUGCUCUUUAUAUAUUUGCUGCUUUACUGUAUCCUUACAUGUUGUAAUGGGCAAGGCACUCUCUGGGUCCUUCUUAUAAGGGCACUAAUCCUGUUAAGACCUAAUCACCUCCCCACAGAUCCCACCUCCUAGUCCCACAACGUUGGGGGUUAAGAUUCAGACAUUCAGACUACAGCUCACUCUCAUUCCCUCUCUUCCUCCAGUUCUGUACUCAUUUUCAAAACUGAAGUGAGUCUUGUCAUUCUCCAGAAGAUUUUUAGCACAUUGAACAGGCCUGUGUCAUCUGACUCCUCUGUUUCCCUCUUCCUCAUUUCCCAUUAUUCCUCCUUUUAGUUCAUCACCUUCUAGCCCUACUGCAUCCCCUGUUGUUCCUUGUAUAUAAAAACUCAUUCUUUCUGAGGAUAUUUGUACCUAUGCUUUUGUUGACUUUGGUUGUAGUGCUUUAGUGUAUAACUGAGCAAAUGGAGGGGUGGGCUGGUAGUUUCUGUUUGUGAUCAGGAAUGAAUGAAAUAUCAUGUCAUGUUUGAGCUGUGAUCUUAAAAAGCAUAUGAGCUUCGAGGGGAGGAGUUUUGGACCACAUUGUGCCUCUGUGUGAGGGAACUUAGCUUUUUUCUCUUGAGAUCAGCAUAGGUUUGUUUUAGUUAAAAUCAGAGCAAAAUACUCUGGAUGAAUGGGCUAUGGAAGACAUGCUAUGGCCUGUUCCAAAGUGGUGGAGCCAUAGGAGACUGUCACAGAUCUAACAUCUAACUGCCACAAGUUAGCUAUGGGCCUUCUACAGGUGAAAUUAACACAUAGGCCUCUUUCUCUUUUUUUUUUUUUUUUUUUUGUGGUGCUGGGGAUUGAACCCAGGGCCUUGUGCAUGCAGGGCAAGCAGUUUGCCAACUGAGCUAUAUCCCCAGCCCACGUAGGCCUCUUUCUUCACUUCUGGAUUAGGGAGGCUGAAUCAGAAAACUUUUGUAGGCCUUAUCAAUUCUGUCAUUUUCUGAUAUUCUAACUUUGGGAAGGACAUCUGAGCCAUUUUUUUUCCUGACAAUUUCAGGAAUGGGGUAUUGAUUGUGAUGGCUCUCUGCAAUUUUAUCAGCAUAUAGGUUGCAAGGUAAGGACAAUCGAUUUUAAGUGGAUGUGAGAAGUCAUGGUUACCACCCUAAAAUAACUGCUAAUCCAGACAUCAGUAUAACCCCAAUGAACACAAAAACUCAAUAGGCAUAGUUUACAGUUUUGCUCCUUAACAUCUCUUGUGGUGAAGAAAAAUCACAUCUCAGUGCUUAUUGUUUAGCUAUUUAGAGUAAUUCCCCAGGGAAGAUCUUGGCAUGCUAUAUAUGAACGACCAGUACUGAGGGCAGCAUGGACCAGAUCUUGGUGGUGGUUGGUGGAGGGUGAUGCCUGGGCCCUGUGGUUAGGGCUCCAGUCAUAUAAUGGCAUGUGUUGGAAGAACAUGUGUCACUGUAGCCCUUGAUAUGUUUUUUGUGCCAAUUCUUGUCUAAGAAGACACACAUGCUUGAUUUUUAUGUGGUGACAGAGAAAACAGAACACUGCAGACAUCCUUCAGAAUCUGAUGGGAAGGAACAUCUCAGAUUACCUAGUGAAAAUGUAUGUGCAGAUCAUAGCCAAAAGGUAACUCUUUACUAAUUGUAGUCCAUGCUUUAUCAUCAUUGAUUAGAGGAAAUGAAGGCCUACAAAUAGUGCACCCCCUGGGGGGAUUGUCAGAUUAUGGUUUGAUGUUUCUACUGCAAAGUUAGGAUGUUAUCCCUAACUAGACAUGAUGGCGAGAGCUAUCGGUGAAUAUUCAAUUUUCAGCUAAAAGUUUGAGGCAGGCUGGUCUAGAAUGAAACAAAGUAUGGAUUCAAAUUUGACUUCUGCCACUUACUAGUUGCUUGAUCAGAGACAACCCAUUAUCCUUUUAAAGUUCUUGUUUAUAUAAAAUAUAAUGUUAAUGUUAUUCAUAAAACUUUGUUGUUAGGAUUAAGUGAAAUGAUGUACAUAAAGUGUUUUAGAUCCUUUCUCACAGAUGGACUCUAAUACAUGGAAUCAUGAGGAGAGCCCUGGGACGACUGAGCCUAUUUUGACUGUGGAAUUUUUUUUUAAACAGCCUUAUAGUUUCCAGACAUCAUAGUACACUGUUGAAUACUUAGCUGAUGCUCUAGAAUGCUUUUUUAAAUUUUCUUCCCAACACCUUGGUCAGCUGAGUCUCUAGGUUAGUAGUUCUCAAUGACUUCAGAUGGUAAGAAUGUGCUGGAGUGAUAAUGAGCAUGAAUUUCAGAGAAAGAGGCAUGAUGUACAAAUAUGUCAUGUAUAAUGCAAAUAUUACUUUGAAAUGAAAAAGCUUCUAGUUGGUCAAACUUUGAUCUGUAAGGUGGUUUUUAAAAUUUGGCUCAUUCAAGGAAUGUUUUUCAUCUCCUACUUACUCUUUCCCCAAAGUCAGAUUUCCAGUUGAUCAUAGGGACUCAAGAAGUAUUCAGGCCUUUGGCAUGGGCCCAAGAAGGACUGGAAUAAUAGAGGUAUCAAAACUGCCUAUAUUCCUUUCUUUUCCUUCUGGGUUUUGAAGGACCAUCAGGAACUAAGGAAGACUAGGGAAAAGAAUAAUUCUUAAAGUCAAUUUAUACCACUGGAAAACAAAGUACCUUACAUGGCUGCCUCAAAAAUUAUCUCUAUUAUUGCUUCUCAGCUUUCCUUUGUGCCAUUUCCCCAAGGUCCAGGACCCAUAGAACUCUUGAGCAGAACAGAAGCAGACCCUUAUAGUUAGCUUGUCUCAUACUAGAGAGAAAGUCUGUCCACGGUGACUGCAAUUAAUACUACCUCCACCACCCAGUUUCCUAUGUGAAAUCUUUUCAAAGGAACAUCAAGAAAAAAACUCUUAAAUAUAAAUCAGAGCUAAUGGCUCUAAUGUCUUUGAUAGGUUUUUACCUCCAGAGUCAAAAGUAUUCUUUGCCUUACUAUGAAAUUAAUCUGUCCUUUGGAUUUCUGAGGGCUCAAUAAGUGAGAAGUGACAUACUUCUUGUUUUUCAAUUUUAUCUCAGACAUAAUUCAUUAUGUUAUAUUUUCAAUACAUGUUAAGAAUUAACAUAAUAAAAUCAAUAAAAAAUUAAAAUAAUAUAGUUGUAAAUACAGCUAUGAGGAAACUUGGAAGUAUGAAAUCUCUUUUAAGUUGGAAGCACUCAAAACAAAAACUAAAUUUGUAGCACAUCUGUGGAAGUACUAAAGAAGUCUCAUCCUGAGUUUGGUAGCAUACUGUUAAAGCAACAGCUUCAGAGAUGAUAAAAAUAUAAAACUUAGAAAAAUAAUCAGAAUAUACAGGUAGGCUUUUAUUAGGUCAAACAUUUCCAUAUCCAUGAAGAUCACAUUCAAACAAAGAUAUCUCAAGCAUCUUAUGUUAAGUAGGAUCCAAAAUAAAGUAAAUAUUUGUAAAAUUAAUUAUAAAUGAAGACAUUUCAGCAUACAAACCAAAGAGUCUUCAAAGACUUUAAAUACCAGGACCUAAUAAUUUUAUUUUCCAGUUCAGUGACAAUAGAGCUAAUGUGUGACCAUAAUUAACACAGAUGACACAAAUGAUAAUGUACUUUUCCAUGGCAAAUAAAUAUGUUUAAUAUUCUCAUGAAUACCAUUUGAUAUUACAAAAUAAACUUUACUUGACAAAAAUUUGGAAAAUCAGGAAAACAGACACGAUUAAAAGUUUGACAAUGUAUAUUAAUAAUUUAAAACUAUUGUUUCAAUCAUGGAAAUAUAACAUUAGUAUUUGAAUAAAGGUUUGUCAACAUACAGAAGACAUCCUCUGAAAUGAAUGAAAAAUCAAGAUCUUGAAAUAGUGGCAAGUAUCUUUGUUAAGUAGAAUGCAAAAUGAAGUAAAUAUUAGUACAAUUAAUUAUAAAUGAAGGCAUUUCAGCAUGUAAACCAAAGAGUCCUCAAAGAUUUUUAAUCUCAGGACUGAAUAACAUUAUUUUCCAAAUGGUAGAUAUUUUUAAUGUGUGAUAGAUAUUGAAAUGCCUUGGGAAAAAUGAACUUUUUACUUCCUAAAGUGGUGGUGACAAACAAGGGAGAGCUUUAUAAAAUGCAAGGGACAUAGUAAAUUAAUUUAUCACCUCCUUAAAAUAAAAGUGAGAAUAAUUCUCUUGGGAGAACUUAAACACCAUUAGCAGACACAUUUUAUACCAAUUAAUGAAAUCUUUUGUGUUUCAGUAGAACACUAUUUCAAUGGUGAAAAUGAUGCAGGAAUCAGAAGCAUAUUCUGCUGAGACACUAGGUAGUUGACACUUUCCCGAACUGGAAAAACAUUUCAUAAGAAGGCAUAUAAAGUUAUUGAGCAAAUCAAGUUUAUUGUAAAAAUAACCCAUGCCUAGUGAAAUAGCUUACCAGCUGCCACGACUCUGGGAUCCUCAUGGGAAUGAUGCCUCCCAGCUGCACGACUAUCUGCACUCUCAUUCCACCAAAGAACAUGAACUGCAGAAAUAAACCAAAAUUGUUUCUAAAGAGUAUGACAUUGACAUUGCCAUGGGCAAAAGAAUAAUUCUUAAAGUGAGAGUGAGUAAAAAAAUCCUAUUAUUUUAAAUUAAAAUGUCAGUAAAUAAAUAUUUAGAUGAUAAGAUUUCAGAGGAAUCAGAGACUUGAGAAAGAAAUUUAUACAUGAAUUAAUCAAACUCUCUCUCUCUCUCUUUUUUUAGGUGUAAAAACAGAAAGCUGGAAAAGGAAAGUAAGGUAAGACAGUUAAAGACACACUCAAAUUUCAUGACUUCCCACUACAGUUGACUUUAUUGCAAAAAACCAAGGUUAUAAAAAUUGUGUUUAUUAUAGAAAAUUUAUAUGAAACAAACAGGAAAACAAAAAAUAGCAUAAUGUUAACUACCUAGAGAAAACCCCUAGGGCAUUUCCUUUAAAAGUUAACUUAGGGUCUAUUGUAUAUUAUGCUUACUAAUAGAUUCUUUAAAAUUAACAGUGAUUAUCUUCUGUGGCAAUAAUAUUAUUUUUUAAUGAUGAUAUGGAUUCCUUCAUAAUACACAGCAACUUUUUAUACUAAUCUUUAUUGUUGGCCAUUUAGAUUAUUUCCAAUAUUUCACUAUUCUAUAAAAUUCUGGAAUAAAUAUUCUUGUAUAUAAUUAUUUAUACAUUUUUUUAUAAUUGCAAUGUAAUACAAAGUAGAGGUAUAGAAAAAUACAGAUAAACACAAAGAGAAGCUAGGAAUCAUUUCUGGACUUCCCAGAAAUAACUAGUUUUAUAUUUGGUUUAUGUCUUUCCAUACUAAUACAUAUUAUAUAUACGUUGUUAUGUAUAUGAAAUAUAUGAAUAUUUACAGACAUAUCUAUACAUAUAUUUAUAUCUAUGCAUACAUUUUAUACUACAAAUAUAUAUAGCAUAUUUCUAUAUCACAAAAUAUAUUACAUAAAGAAGGUCAUACCACAUUAUUUAUUAUAUAAACAAUAUUUACAUAAAUUUCAUUUGAACACACCUAUGUAUGUAUCUAUAAUAAUGAUGAUGGUGACUACUAUUGCUAACAUUUAAUUGCCUGGAAUGUGUUUGUCUCUAGUGAUGGAACCUGUCAGGCCUUGGGCAUGCUAAGCAUGUGUUCUACCACUGAAUUAUAUUUGUAGUGCUUUUUAUUUUUAUUUUUAGAUAGAAUCUUGCUAAGUUGCCCAGACUGGCCUUGAAGUUGUAAUCCUCCUGCCUCAGUCUCCUGAUAGCUAGGAUUUCACAUGUGUAAUACCUUGCUUGAUUUUAAACAUUUUUCAUGUGUUAACUCAUUUAGUCCUCAUAAUAAUCUAGAUGGUAGGUUAUUACUAUCAUCAUUGUAUAGAUGAGGAAACUAAGGCCCAGUGAGGUUAACUUACCCAAGGUCAUAAAAUUACUAAGCAAUGGUGCUGGGAUUAAAUCCAGGCUGUUUGUAUCUGUUUAUUUCCUUAACAAAAUCUCCUAAAAUGUAAAGUGAGAGAUCCAAGGAGUAUAUCUUAUAUACAUAUAUAUUUUAAAUUUUCAAAUAGUGUAUAUAUUAUACUGUCUAUAUAUUGUAUGUAUUAUACACUAUCUUCCUAAAAUGGAAGAUAAAUAUAAAAAGAAGCUGUACUGAUUUAUACUCAUCAUGCCACAUUUUCUUAGGAUACUGAAAAUGAAUUUAAGAAUAAAAAAGUUAUAAAAAUCAUACAUACACAAUAUCAGAGAUUAAAAGACAGACUUUCAGUAAUCUUUAAUCUCAUCACUCAAAUAUGACUACUUUACAUACUUUCAAAUUUCUUUCGUAUAUAACUGAAAGCCCUUAUAAAUAUAUGCACUCCUGCAUAUUUUCUAGAAUACUGCCAAAGACAAUGAAAAUAAUUUUUUAUUUAUAUGGCCCAAUUUGGGAAGGAAAGAUUAAUGUGAACCGUAUAUAUUAUAUGAGUACUUAUUUACUCCUGAUCUAACAUUAUACCCAUGUAAGCAAGUCUACAUUAAGUAAAAAGUGAUAUCUGCUUACUAUUUUUAAUCUGCCUCUUCUUUUAUAUUUGACAGUCAUAUGUGUUACUACCUUUACAUAAAUUUUCAUUUCCUUUUUGCUUUUGAAUUUAACUUAUGAUGAUUUGUUCCACAUAUAGAGAGUUUGAGCCUUUUUAUAAUAAAGUCAUCAAAUUUUUUCUUCAUUUUUGUUUCUAUUUUUAGCUUAGGAAUAUAGUCCCCAUUCAUAUUUUUAAGUAAGUUCAUCUACAUAAAGUUUUAGCAACUCUAUGAAUUAAAUUUUCUCAUUGAAAUCUAUUAAAGUCUUGGUUUUAUUUUAGCAUAUAGUAUGAGAUAAUUUUUAUAAUAAUUUUUCUCCUCCAUUAUUUUCCAACGUAAAUAUACAUCUGUUUUUGUAUAUUAUGACCAUUUUCUUAUGAUAAACAGGCUGAAUAUCCCUAAUCCAAAAAUCAAAAAUCUGACAUACUUCUGGUCCAUGCAUUUCAGAAAAGAGAUGAAUUUUCUGUGUUGAGUUGGAAGCUCAGCACUGACUAUAUUAGGUUUCAGAUUUCCAUUGUACAUAAAAUAGAGAAGAUAAAAGGUAACUGCGUAUUAUCAGUCUUUCAAAUAUUUACUAGCUAUUCUUUGUCAUCUGUCCUUUCAGAUAAGCUUUACAAGUAUUUUCAGAAUUUGUCAAAAAAAAUCUUGAAAUUCUGAUGGUAAUAUCUUUCAAAUUUAAAAGUUAAAAUACUCUGGGCUGGGGAUAUAGUCCAGUGGUAGAGCAUUGCCUAGCAUGUGCAUCGUCCUGAGUUCAAUCACCAGGGCUAUGCACACAAAAAAAUACAUUUAAAAGUUAAAUACUCCAAAUACGUAUUUUAUUAAAGAAAUUUAUAUUUACAAAUUUACCAAUGGAUAUGUACAUACAUGUAUAUAAAUACAUGCCUCAAAUAAAAAUGGGUGAAUUUUUAUGGGGCGACUUUAGUAUAAAUAAAUUAAUUAAUACAUGAAUGAAUAAAUAAAUUAUGUUUUUACUCAGAAACAAUCUCCCCAGAAAUGUUGUUUCAAAAAUCAAUAAAAAAAUUCAGAAGAAAAAAUAUUUAAAAGGAAUAGGUUAUUUCUUGAGAUUCUGGCACCUAUUAAAAUUUAAUCAUUUUGAUAAUCAGGAAAAUAGCAGUUUUGUGUUUGAAAAGGCUUCAUAAAGAUGUUAACAUUCUAAAUAAAAAGAUGUGACACAGGUUUUUUUCAACCCUUAAAAUUGACAAAAAUACAAAAAUUUGGCAAUAAAAAAUAAAAUGUACAGUAUGAGAGAGAGAAACGUAUCCAAGGAACUUAUUAGUAGAUCACCACUGAAAUUUUAUAGAUGAAACAGAUAACUAUACCUGUGUUGAGUGCUCCAUAUUCUGCAUGGAAAACACCAACUAAUUUUGUAUAGCCUAGAUUUACAUGGGCAUGAACUGCCCUUUUAAAUGCAUCACCCCACAGAGCUGGGCCACCAGGUUUCAUCUGAAAAGAAGCCAAUUCAUAGACUCCUAAAAUAGAAAGAAAAAGGACUAUUUUACAGAAGACAUUCCAGCAUUUUCUAAUCAUGUCUGUCUUGUUUCCAUGGAAAACUAAUCUACAAAUACAGAUUUAGAGGAUCAUAUAUGGUUACAUAGACAUAUUUAUUGUAUUUGCAUUAUUUUUCUUUGCUUUGGUUAUCAUGCAGAUGAUAAAAAGUCUGGAGUUAUAAAUAUAUAAACUAUGAUCUGAAAUAUUUUAAUAUAAAAAUCUAUUAAUAAAACAGAUAUUAAGAAUUUAUAAUGAAAUUGGAUUUUUGAGCCAAGUCUAUACUUUCAGAAAAGAAUAAAAUAAUUUUCCAAUGUCUCCUAUAUUUUCAUUCUUCUUUCCAAUUUGUACUUUUUUCCAUUUAUAUUUCUCUCUCCUUAAGUUUCUUUUUCUAACAGGAAGAACAUAGAAAACAAUGAAAAUAAAGAAAUGUCUCUAAGUUUUGGAGGAAAAAAACCCAAACAAACCUAAUGAGAUUUUAUUGUCCCUAAAUAUCCAAGUAUGUAGUUGAAAUGUAUCUUAUCUUCUGGACAGAAAUAAAGGACUGGUAGAAAGAAACUAGAGACAAGUAGAUUUGAAAGGUACAGGAAAACAUGCAAAGAUUACUCAGGUUAAUAAAAAAGAGGAAGAGGAUCAACGUUAGACACUGAGAAGUCAACUAUUUUAUCUAGAUAGUGCUGACAGAGAAAGAGAUCUAACUAGGAUCUAAAUAAUUCUUGUCAAGUUUCUUUGUAGUGUAGUCUAAAAACAGAGUUGGAAAUAAAAUAAAUCUAAAUUGAUUUUUCUAUUCUGACCUUGGUUUAAUACUGGAUUGAAGCAAUAGUUUCUUUAAAUCAUCAAGAAGUGAAAUCAGCAAGAAGAUAUAUCUUAAGGAAUUAUUUUCAAACUGAGAAGAAAGAGGAAGACACAAAAGUUAGACACAAAAACUAUAGUGAUAUAGCUUGGUAGAUUCAGUAAAUUCACCCCCCUCAAAUAGUUAAUUUUAUAAGCAAAGGUGUACUAAUGACUUAAGAUUAAUUAUAUUUUGUGGAAAAUAUUCUUAUUUAAAUAUUUAUGUUACCUUAAAAUUAUUCUUUAUUUUCCCACAUGUGGUCCCUAUUUCUAAUGUGCAAUUUCUCAUCUUUAACUGACUAUGUAGACUUUUUCUGUAACAGCUAAACUUAGCAAUGUGUAAAAUUUCAAUUUGGAAAAAUUCCUCAUUAUUUAAUUCUCAUUUUAAGCAUAAGCUGGAAGAUUCAACUUCGUUUUAUCUUAACAACCACAGUAUGUUCCCAUAAAACAAAGGAUUAAUUUCCUUGUUUGCCAGUGGAACUUCACCUUUUAUCACUUAAGAUCUUUAGUAUUUCAUUCAUCUAAAUUCUAAGUGGUGAAGAAGGAAAGUGACUUACCCUCUUUUGGAGGCUUUUCUAAUUUGCACCAUGGCACCAGGUAAGUAAUCUCACUCUCUUGCUUAUCAAUGAGAGCCAAAUUUGGAAUGAGGAAUUGUUCUUGCCAUUCCUUAUCUUUAGCCAAGGCUUUCUGAACUGCAGUUCGAUGAGCAAAAUUCUCUAUGGGAGAAAAGAAUUAAGAAAAAGAAACAUUUACAACUUAAAAUCACCUAUGCUUCUCUGGAUUUCAUCCAAACAACAUUCACCUGCAGCAUAGAGGAACAUUGUUAUGCCUUUGGAGAUAUCAUCACGAAAAGAUGUGACAUCUGUCCUCAAGUUGUUCUUGGGCUUAAGGGGAAUAGAAAUACAAAAUGUCACAGAAUUGGCUUCAUGGGUUCUAUGACUUUGCAGAAACUUGUGUGAAUUAGGUAAGUUACUGUAUCUUUCUGCAUUCUGUUUUUCAGUCUGUAUAAUGGAGAGAAUAUAACAUUGUUGUGAAGGUUAACUGAAUUAACACACAAAAAGAGCCUAGAACAAUGUUUAGCACCCAGUUAGUAUCAACAUUUGUGGACUAAUUAAUUCAGUUGAGGCAUUUAACUGAUAGUGCUAGUUCAGAGAAAGAUCUUUCUUUGGUGGUGGCAGGUGCCCAGGUCAAGAUAAACCUUGAAUCAAAUUACAAUAAAUGAAAUUAAAAUGUAUUUGGUGAGUCUCUUCUCCUUUGAACAAAGAGCCUUCAAAAAAUAGUGUUGAUUCUCUUACUUAUUACCAGCCAUUUUCCCCCCAGCACUUAUUUUUUUUCUGAGUUAUUCCAACAGGUAUCGACAUUUACCCAUAUAUGGGCCUAGCAUUGUAUUUACUAUGAAGACCUUAUAAGACUAAUGAGAAAAGUUUUAUAUGGUUUAUGAUGGUGAUAAUGAAUAACACCUAUCUCACAGCUUAAGUGAGGUAUAUCAGGACUUCAUUAGUUUUCUUAGUGGGCCAUGAUUUAACUUGUAGCACAUCUAAAGCACAAGUUGUGUUUUAAUGGGGCUUGUUUUACUACACUAGGUAAAAACCCUACACUGUGCCCAUAGUUAGGUGUAGAAUGAAUAUUUUUCAUAAUAAAACAUUUAUGAAUAUUAAUCUGGACACUGAUGAUCAAAUUGUAAAUAAAAUUAUUACCAGGUCUUUGGAUAUCCACAAGUCCUGAUAUGACCCUAACAGACUAGAUUGUGGAGAAACAAACAUUCUGGUGACUCUUGAAACUUCUUUUCCUUCCUCAGGGGUAGGUCAGUGUGACAUGGGAAGAACUGAUUCCUUUUCCUUUUGAGUAGUAUGAAAGUAAAUUCCUUGAAACUCUGGGGUGUAAGAAAUGAAACAAAAAAUUGGUUUCUAAACAUAACGGAAAUAUUAAAUCUCAUGGUUGAAUGAAGUUUAAAAUCUGUGAUCCUCUCUAAAUCUCAAUUUACUUAAUGGCCCUAAAUUUUUAAAUUAUUAGACUUCCUCUUUCCUUUUGUGAUCUUAACACGUUUGGGCUUUUUCAAACACCACCUUAAAAUUUUUAUCAACCAUCUUUGUAAUAAACCAUUCUAAAUUUUCUGAGUGUUAAAGCUAGUUUAUAAUUUUAUCAUUUCAUAUAUGAGAAUUAAUGUUUUCCAAGUUAUGGUAAUAUAAGACUUUGAGCAAGGAAUUGUUAGAAGUAGACCAUUGGUGAGAGUAAUCACUGAAUUUACUUUUUUGGUACUGUAUUCCUUUUUAAAUUAAGAUUUUACUUAACCUGUACGUAUCUAUAAAUAUAUAGAUUUAUAAAUAUAGUUUAUAAAUAUAGAUUUAAGAACUAAAUUUCAUGAAACAUGGAACAGAAUGAAAAUCUAUAACAAACACUUAAGUGGAAUGACUCCUACCAUACUUCCAAAUGUGAAACACUUUAUUCAUUCUGCCUCCAAAUUCUACACUCCAACAUCCAACCAAUUCAGAGUGAGCUGUCCGAAGAUGCAUGUUUUUCUUGAUGUUUUCCAGGAACUCAUUCAUCUUCGAGGGUUUAAGUGAAUAGGUAUGAAACUCAUAGAAUGUUCCAUCAUUUUGUCUGGGGCCUGUAGCAAAAGAUGAGCAUACCUGAAGAAAGAUAAGACAAAUUUAAAGAUUUUAGAGAGAGAGAAUUUAUUAUGUUAUAACCAAAUCUAUGUUUGUACUUGUCAAUUCUCUAUAGACUUUUUGUUAUGCAGAGAUUAAAGAUAAAAAUCAUUUUUUGAGGCUAUUGUAAAAAGAGUAGUUUUCCUAAUUUCUCUUUCAGAGGAUUCAAUACUGAUGUACAGAAAUGCAUUUGAUUUAUGGGUGUUGAUUUUAUAUCCUACUUUACUGAAUUGAUUUAUUAGUUCUAGAAGGUUUCUGGUGGAAUUUUUCAGAUCCUCUAAGUAUAGAACCAUGUCGUCAGCCAAAAGUGAUAGUUUGAGUUCUUCUUUUCCUAUUUGUAUCCCUUUAAUUUCUUUUGUCUUUCUAAUUGCUCUGGCUAGAGUUUCAAAAACUAUGUUAAAUGUAAGUGGUGAAAGACGGCAAUCCUGUUGUGUUCCAGUUUUUAGAGGGAAUGCUUUCAAUUUUUCUCCAUUUAGAAUGAUGUUGGCCUUGGCCUUAGCAUAGAUAACUUUUACAAUGUUGAGAUGUUUCCAUUUUCCCUAGUUUUUCUAGUGUUUUGAAAUGAAGGGGUGCUGUAUUUUGUCAAAUGCUUUUUCUGCAUCUGUUAUGAUGAUAUGAUUCUUAUCUUAAGUCUAUUGAUGGGAUGAUGAAUUACAUUUAAUGAUUUCUCUAUGUCGAACCAACCUUGCAUCUCUCAGAUGAACCUCACUUAAUUGUGGUACACUAUUUUUUUUAAAGAGAAAUUAGGAAAACUACUCCAUUUACAAUAGCCUCAAAAAAAAAAAAACUUGGAAAUCAACUUAAUGAAAGAGGUGAAAGAACUCUAUAAUGAAAACUAUAGAACGCUACAGAAAGAAAUUAAAGAAAACCUUACAAGAUGGAAAGAUCUACCUUGUUCUUGGAUAGGCAGAAUUAAUAUUGUAAAAUGACCAUAGUACCAAAAACACUAUGCAGAUUUAAUGCAAUUUCAAUCAAAAUUCCAAUGACAUUCCUCAUAGAAAAAGCUAUCAUGUAAUUCAUCUGGAAAAAUAAGAGACCAGAAUAGCCAAAGCAAUACUUAGUGAGUGAAGCAGGUGGCAUCACAAUACCAGACCUUAAACUAUACUACAGAGCAAUAGUAACAAAAACAUCAUUGUAUUGGCACCAAAAUAGAUUGGUAUACCAAAUGGUACAGAUAGAGGACACAGAGACAAACCCACAUAAAAACAGUUAUCUCAUACUAGACAAAGGCACCAAAAACAUAUACUGGAGAAAAGAUAGCCUCUUCAACAAAUGGUGCUGGGAAAACUGGAAAUUCAUAUGCAUCAAAAUGAAAUUAAGCCCCUAUUUCUCACCAUGCACAAAAUUCAACUCAAAGUGGACAAAGGACCUAGGAAUUAGACCAGAAACCCUAUGCCCCAAAGAAGAAAAAGUAGGCCCAAAUCUUCAUCAUGUUGGAUUAGGCCAUGAGUUCCUGAAUAAGACUCCUAAAGUGCAAGAAAUAAAAUCAAGAAUCAAUAAAUGGGAUGGAUUCAAACUAAAAAGCUUCUUGUCAGCAAAAGAAACAAUCAGUGAGGUAAAGAGAGAGCCUACAGAAUAGGAGGAAAUUUUUACCACACACACAUCAGAGAGAGCACUAAUCUCCAGGUAUAUAAAGAACUCAAAAAACUUAGCACCAAAAACAUAAAUAACCCAAUCAAUAAAUGGGCUAAGAAACUGAACAGACAUUUCUCAGAAGAUAUACUGUCAGUUAACAAACAUAUGAAAAAUAUUCAACAUCUCUAGCAAUUAGUGAAAUGCAAAUCAAAACUAAGAUUUCAUCUCACUCCAGUCAGAAAGCCAGUUAUUAAGAAUACAGGUAACAAUAAGUGUUGGUAAGGAUGUGGGGGAAAAAGCACACUCGUACAUUGCUGGUGAGACUGCAAAGUAUUGCAACCAAUCUGGGAAGCAGUAUGGAGAUUCCUUAGAAAACUUAGAAUGGAACCAUCAUUUGACCCAGCUAUCCCACUCCUGGGUUUAUACCCAAAGGACUGAAAAUCAACAUACUACAGUGACGUAGCCACAUCAAUGUUUAUAACAGCACAAUUCACAAUAACUAAAUUGUGGAACCAACCUAGAUGCCCUUCAAUAGAUAAAUGGAUUAAGAAAGUUGGUAUAUAUACACAAUGGAAUACUACUCAGUGUUAAGAGAGAAUAAAACCAUGGCAUUUGCAGGUAAAUGGAUGGAGUUGAAGAAUAUCAUGCUAAGUGAAGCCAAGCCCACAAAACCAAUGUUUUCUCUGAUAAGUGGAUGCUGAUCCAUAAUGCGUGGUGUGUGUGUGUGUGGGGGGGGGAGGCGGCAGGAUGGGAGGAAUGGAAGAACUUUGAAUAAGGCAAAGGAGUGGUAGGGAAGGGAGGAGGCAUAAGGGUAGGAAAGAUGGUAGAAUGAGAUGGACAUCAUUACCCUAGGUACAUGUAUGAAUACACAAAUGGUGUGAUUCUAUUUUGUGUACAACCAGAGAAAUGAAAAAUUGUGCAAUUGUGCACCAUUUGUGUACUAAGAAUCAAAAUGCAUUUUGUUGUCAUGUAUAACGAGUUAGAAAAAAUAAAUUUAAAAAAGAUAAAAAUCACACAGAAUAUAUAUCUGCUCUUUUACUGGAAAGGGUUUACAACCUUUAGUCAUUUGUUUCAUGAGAAGUUGCUCAUAUGAAGGCAUUGGUGUCUUGAUGAUAUUCCUGUACUGGAGAACUAUAAUUAGAAUUCCCAUAAAUUUAGAAAGAGCUUUCCUUUAUUCAGCCAAUAUUUGAUUUUUAGUUGAUAGCAUAUGUGUAGAGUUAUGCAUCUGAAAGAACUUUAUAAAUUCAGUAUGCAUGCUUUUGGCAGGCAAAAUUAUUUUAAAAUAUAGUACUAAUAGAAAAUUCCACUUUUAUUUUCUUAAAAAAUGGAAAUUUCUCUUCAAGUCAAAGUAUUUCCUACAUUAAAUGAAGUAAACCAGUGGCCAAAAAUAAGACUGGAAUUUUAAGCAUUAGGAAACUAUGUGCUAACUCCAUUGUAAUAUAGUGAUAGACUUUAUGAAUGCUGAAAAAGAUUAAAUUCAAGGAGUCAGGAUUUUCAGAAUCAUCAUUAGGUUCUUAAGACAGAUGCAAUGUAAAGUGCAUUUAAUGCAUCCAGUUAUAUUGGUUUGAUGGGAAUUAUUUUUUUAAGAACCAUUAACUUGUUAAAAUGUUUAUAUGCUCACUAUAUAAAUUUCUAAAUCUAUUUCUGAGUGAACUUAAUUUUUACUAGGCAGAAUUAUCAUAACUUGCCAGAAUUAUCAUCUGUGUACGUAUAUGUGUAUAUUAAAAAUGCACACAUACAGAUACUUAUAUAGCAUUCCACUUUACAAACUCAUGAAGUGUGAUUAGUAGGUGUAGGUGCCUAUUUCCAAAGUAAUUAUACCAGAAAAAUCUGUUAAAGAAGACUUGGUCCCUACAAAACUAUGGACAAAUUAGUGCUUACACUGACCACCUUGCAUGUUUAGAGAAACAGGAGGCUUUGUUCUUAUAUAUUCUUAUAUUGUUGAGUAUAGACUUAAUAUAAUCAUUUCAAUUGAGUUUAUUCCACUCAUGACUGUCAUAACUCUUAAGUUAUUUUCCUAUUGCCCAAAGGACAAAGCUUUCUAUCAAAAACAACCGCAGCAGUCUCUGCCACAGGUAGAUAUUCUUUUUUUGUGCAUUUUAACCAGAUUAUAAUAAUGUUAGUAGAAUAAACAAUAACCUAAUAUGUACAAUCUAAAAAUUACAAGUAAGAUAUAUCAGCUGUAGACUAAUGGGCAUUUGUAUUAUUUUUCAAUGAGACGAUACACAGAAGGGACACCGUAGUGAUAAAGACGGGUGUAUGUGUGAGGAAGUGAAGAGAUUUUGUAGGUUUUUGUUGCAAAGCUAGUUAGAAAUAUGCUGGGGCAGAAAUCUUCACCAUUUGACCUUCCCUUAUCACCAAGUUAGGAUUAAUUCUUGUGAGCAAUUACUAAGAAUUCACUUAUACGAGAAUGCUGCUAGAAAUGUAAAAAAGAAAAGUCGCAAAGAAAUAAUUCUUGGCCCUGCCCCACUAGAGAGAGCAGAAUAGACUGCAUUGUUUUUUUUAAUUUAAUUUUAUAUUUUUUUUAUUGGUUGUUCAAAACAUUACAAAGCUCUUUACAUAUCAUAUUUCAUACAUUUGAUUCAGGUGGGUUUUGAACUCCCAAUUUUACCCCAAAUACAGAUUGCAGAAUCACAUUGGUUACACAUCUACAUUUUUACAUAAUGCCCUAUUAGUAACUGUUGUAUUCUGCUACCUUUCCUAUCCUCUACUAUUUCCCCUCCCCUCCCCUCCCAUCUUCUCUCUCUACCCCAUCUACUGUAAUUCAUUUCUCUCCUUGUUUAUUUUCCCAUUCCCCUCACAACCUCUUAUAUGUAAUUUUGUAUAACAAUGAGGAUCUCCCUCCAUUACCAUGCAAUUUCCCUUUUCUCUCCCUUUCCCUCCCACCUCAUGUAUCUGUUUAAUGUUAAUCUUUUCUUCCUGCUCUUCCUCCCUGCUUUGUUCUUAGUUGCUCUCAUUAUCAAAGAAGACACGGGGUGAAAGGCCAUUAAUGGCUCUUCCUUACUCUUCUCCUGAAAGUCUGUCUCCAGAAGCGGCUAAGCCCACAGCCAGCAUCUUGCUGGCUGAGAAAGGAGUAAAAGCCUCAAGAUGGAAAGGAGAGACUCCCUAGGAUGAAUCGGAACAAGCAGGUGCCCACAGUUCAGGCUUGAUCCCUGGCUCCAUUUUGGAUCUUUCUCAUCUAAGGCUGAAGCAGGUCACGUUUGAGGGUCUUCAGGCUCAGGUCCCUGCUGGGCUUGGGGAUCACCGCAGGACACGGGGAGGGCGGGCACGAUGCCCCACACUGGGACCCUGGCCUACACCAAGGUUCUCGGCAAAAUGCUCGCAAGCUGUGCACUUCGUUACAAAGGAAAAGGCCGGUCGGGUCGCCACUCCUUGUUGGUGGUCCUCUUCCAGCACCUUCAGUGUGGACGGAGCGAAGGCUCUUCAAACCCACACCUACGCGAGGCCAAUGGCGCCUGGGCCCCGCCACGAAGCGGCGAGCGCUCCCGGAGCCACAGCUGCCAAAGUGCUGGCGGCAAAGCCGCAACCGCUAGCGCUUCGGGAGCGACCUCGGAGCGGUCAGGCUCCCAAGCCAGAGAAAGCCUCGCUCCGGUGGGUAAACGACCCUGCCCCGCAAGGACCCCUCCUCCACGGGCGCGGACCCUCAGCCGACAGAGCUGACCGCGCGGCACGCAUGCGCAGGGCUCACGCCCUCCCAGCCCUGCGCCUGGCAAAGGGCGCGCCCACCCGGAGGCCGAUACCUGAAGCGCGGGCGUUCGCGAGGUCAGAGCCCGGGCCAGGACGCUUCGGAGGGGCAGCAUGGCGCAGCGUGGGCCGCUGAGGAAGGCAGCCAGCUGGCGUCCGACGUGACGCUCUCCUCGUACGGCUUCCUGACUGGAAAGGCGCAGCGAAGGGACAGUUAGAGGGCGUGGGCGGGGGCGGGACUCGGCGGGUCAGCUCCGCCCCCGCCCUGGAGGUGCAUCCCUGGGGCCAGUGUGCAGGAGUGUGGUGCCAGCCCUGACUCAGGGUUUCCCCUUUGUUUCCUCGACGGUUUGUGCCCCAGACGUCAGAGUUGAUGUUAGUGUAGCUGAAAGCGGAGUUCAUGCUUGUUUCACCUUCUGGUCUGUCGCCUCCUCAGGGCGCUGUUGUGUAAACGUUCCGGGUAGAGCGCCUAUGAGCAGGAAGGUGCUGUAUGGAUGCCUGCAUGUGCAGGCUUUGCAUUUAGUCAUGGUUUUUUUAAUUUAUUUAUUUAUUUAUUUAUUUAUUUAUUUUAUUUUACAGAGAGCAGAGCUGGGAGUCUUAACUUGUCUUCACUGAAGGUAUUCUCCAUCCCACUUGCCAGCCCAGCAUGGCUUUGAAGGCUCCCAAAGGUUUGAAUUAAACUUUCCAAGAGCCAAAAGAAUGGGUGCACUGAACCUGACAUAUGAAACUCAAAUUUAAACUUGCAUAGAUUGAAAUAAAAUAUUUCUAUAAUACUUGAAAUAGAACUGCUGACUUCUCAGGUGGUCCUCUGAUUAUUGGUCCCCCCCCAUCUUGGUUUAACAAUUUUAAAGCUGUUACUCUCAUUAAUGUUCAUAUUAAAAUUAAUUUUCUUGUUAACUUAUAUUAGUAUACAUUAUAUUAAUAUUUACAUUAUUCUUGCUAGUAGUCACUUUAUGCACAUGUUUAAGCAACAUUGUUUACAUCAUGAAGCUGUAAUUAUUACAACCUUACCACCUGUGCUUAUGAAAGGAAGACUUUUUUAAAAAAUUUAUUUGUUCUAAUUAGUUAUGCAUUACAGCAGAAUUCGUUUCAAUACGUUGUAUGCAAAUGGAGCACAAUUUCUAAUUUCUCUGGCUGUACAUGAUGCAGUCACACUGGUGCUGCAAUCAUACAUAUACACAAGGUAAUGAUGUCCCUCUCCUUCUACCAUUCUUCCCACCCUUACACUCCCUCUCCUCCCCUCACUCGCUUCUGCCCAAUCCAAAGUUCCUCCAUUUUUCCCUAGCUCUACUCCUCCAUUAUGGAUCAGCAUCCACAUAAUCAGAAAACAUUUGGCCUUUGGAUUUUUGUGGAUUUUUGUAUUAUUUCACUUAGCAUGAUAUUCUCCAACUUCAUCCAUUUACCUGCAAAUGCCAUAAUUUUAUUCUUCUUUAAGGCUGAGUAAUAUUCUACAGUUUGUUUGUCCAUUCAUCUGUUGAAAGACAUCUAGGUUGGUUCCAUAGUCUAGCUAUUAUGAAUUGAGCUUCUAUAAACAUGGAUGUGGCUGCAUCACUGUAGUAUGCUGAUUUUAAGUCCUUUGGGUAUAAACUGAGGAGUGGGAUAGCUGGGCCAAGUGCUGGUUCUGUUCCAAGUUUCUAAGGAAUCUCCAUACUGUUUUCUAGAGUGGUUGCACCAAUUUGCAGUCCCACCAGCAAUGUAUGAGUGUACCUUUUCCCCUACAUCCUUGCCAACACUUAUUGUUGCUUAUAUUCUUAAUAUUUGCCAUUCUGAUUGUAAUGAGAUGAAAUCUUAGAGUAGUUUUAAAUUGUAUUUCUCUUUGCUAAACAUGUUGAAUUUUUUUUCAUAUAUUUGUUGAUCAAUUGUAUAUCUUCUUCUGUGAAGUGCCUGCUCAGUUUCUUAGCCCAUUUAUUGAUUGGGUUAUUUGGGCUUUUUUUUUUUGGUGUUAAGUUUUUUGAAUUCUUUAUAUAUCCUGGAUAUCACUGCUGUAUAUGAGAUUGGAGUGGUAAUCUUCCAUUCUGUAGGCUCUCUCUUCAUGUUAUUGAUUGUUAAGACUUCUUUAGGGCCGGGGAUGUGGCUCAAGUGGUAGUGUGCUCGCCUGGCAUGCGCAGGGCGCUGGGUUUGAUCCUCAGCACCACAUAAAAAUAAAAUAAAGAUGUUGUGUCACCGAAAUCUAAAAAAUAAAUAUUAAAAAAUUCUCUCUCUCUUUAAAAAAAAAGACUUUUUAAAAGUAGUAAUUCUGGUGGAGGUGCUUCAGGAUGUUUUAGAAUGGAUUUUAUAAGUAAGUUCAUUUUCUUAGCCUUCUUUCAUCCUGAAAUUAACAAUUCAUUUUCUCAUUGAUAAAAUAUUUUAAAAAUUCCUUCUAUUCUCUAGGUACUUUUCCAGAAAUGGAUCCAGAACUUUACAUAAGACAUAAUUCAUUUCCUCUUGAAACUUUCAGCUAGCACAAAACAGAAAUACAGUCACUUCUCAUAUUCACAAGUCCAGAAUUGGUGGACUCAACCAAAGAUGGAAGGAGAAUAUUGGUAAAAAUGUUGUGUCUGUACUGAAUAUAUACAGAUUUUUUCCCCCUGGACAUUAUUAACUAAACGAUAUAGUUUAACAAUCAUCUAAAGAUGAUUGAAAGCAUUCAGGAAGAUAAGUGUAAUGUUGUUUGCAUUUUAUAUAAAGGAUCUGGGCUGGGUGAGAUGGCACAUACCUGUAAUCCAAGCAGCUUGGGAGGCUGAGACAGGAGGAUCAGGAGUUCAAAACCAGCCUCAGCAAAAGUGAGGUGCUAAGCAACUCAGUGAAACCUUACCUGUAAAUAAAAUACAAAAUAGGGCUGGGGAUGUGGCUCAGCGGUCUCGUGCCCCUGAAUUCAAUCCCUGGUACACUCCCCCUAACCCCCCAAAAAAGAAUUUGGCCAUCUGUGAAUUUUGUUAUCCUCUUUGUAUCCUGAAUCCAGUAACUUACAGAUACUGUGGGUCAGCUGUCUAUCAGAGUUUAAUAAAUAGUGUGAAGAAAAUAUAGUAGAAUAUGAAGAGCAGAAAGUACUGGAGGAGAUAAAAGAGACUCCUGGCUAUUUCUCAAUAUAUAUUCUUUCCUUUCACCUUUUAUUUUCUUUAUUAAAUGUUUGUAUUAGUGCAUUAUAGUUAUACAAAAUAGUGGGGUUCAUUUUGACACAAUCAUACCUGCAUGGAAUAUAAUUUUCUCCAUUUUAGUUCUCAGUGCUUCCUCUUUCCUUCCCUUUUACCCUCCAUUUCCCUUCCUCUACUCUGCUGGGCUUCCUUCUGUUAAAUUAUUGUCUUUAAAAAUUGAUACACAUACUGGUGAAAUUUUUAGAUACACAUAUAGGUGGAAUUCACGGUGGUACACUCAUAUAUGUACAUAGCAUAAUUUUGUCAGUUUCAUUCCACAUUUCUUCUACUUUCUGGUUCCUCAUUCCCACCUCUCAAUCUCCUUCUUCUCCUCCACUGAUAUUCCCUCUAUUUUCAUGUAACUCACCGCCCCGACCACUUUCCCCCCUUACUUUGCUCUGCAUUCUGCAUAUGAGAGAAAACAUUUGACCAUUGACUGAGUUUGGCUUAUUUCGCUUAGCAUGAUGCUCUCCAUUUCCAUCCAUUUACCAUUAAGUACCAUAAUUUCAUUCUUCUUUAUGGCUGAUAAAACUCUUUUGUGUAUAUAUACCACAUUUUCUUAAUCAGUUCAUUUGUUGUUGGGCACCUGGGCUGGUCUCAUAAGUUGGCUAUUGUGAAUUGUGCUACUAUAAACAUUGAUGUGCCUAUAUCACUGUAGUAUGCUGAUUUUAGUUCUGUUGGAUAAAUAUUUAGGAAUUGGAUGGGUGGAUCAUAUGAUGGUUCUAUUUCUAGUCUUUUGAGGAAUCUCCAAACUGCUUUCCAAAGUGAUUGUACUAACUUAUAACCUCACCCACAGUGUAUGAGUGUACCUUUCUUUCUACGUCCUUGCCAGAAUUUGUUAUUACCUAGUUCAGGGUGAACUCUCAGUGUAGUUUUGUUUUGUAUUUUCCUGAUUGUCAGGGAUGUUGAACUUUUUUUCAUACAUUUUUUUUCUUGGUGUAGAACAUUUAUUUUAUUUUUUCCAUGAAACACUCAAAAGUUCAGAUCUGUGGGAAAUAAUUUUAAUCAAAGAAUUAUACAUUUUCUUCCCACAUAUCCUGCUUUGUAUUAUGAAAUGACAUUGUGAUCCAUUUCACUACAAGUAAAAUUAUUACAAAAUAUUUACAGGAAAAUAUUAAAAAUAACCCAAACACAAAAGGCAAGAUGAAAUAAACUGGGUUUUCAGAAAUCUCUACUCCAGUGCCCACAGCACACAAGAAGAGAGUCAAAACAAAUAAGUAACUAAGACUCCCCUGAUCACAAAUUUCCAAAGAACUGGAGAAGGGGAAAAAACUGAACGAAGAUGGUAGUGUGAAAGGAAAUGGAUGUUAGCAGCACUGCUGCAAUAGCCAAUCUAUUCUGAGUGAAAUAACCUCUUAUGUGCAGUAAAUUCUGAACAAGGCUAUAUUUUAGGAUUUUCCUUGAACUGAAAUUAGAAAAUAACCUGACAGUGGAAGUAGCUCUUUCACCUAAGUUUAAUAAGAGCCUCUUGCUCCACAAACCACUGUGGUGAACAGAAGCCUGUUCUGACAUCAAAAGCUGUCACAGCAGCCCUUCUGUUUCUUUCAUGAAAGCUUCAUAAACAUCAUCCUUAGUUUGUACUGAGAUAGGGACAGAAGGACCAGAUUUGGGGGCUGCUUUGGCAAGAGGCACAGCAGAAUCAUCCUCUGACUUUCUUUGGGUGUAGCAGUAGCCCCUUUUUUCUCCCGAUGUACAAAUCGAGUAAUCUCUGCCUUGGGAUUAGUGAUCUGUGGCUUGGCACUGAUAGUUGCUGUGGCUUUCUUCUCAGUGGUGGCUGCACUUGUAUCAUCCG
This 24845-nucleotide long non-coding RNA is filed under the name Marmota monax (woodchuck). Lineage: Eukaryota; Metazoa; Chordata; Mammalia; Rodentia; Sciuridae. The record is from RNAcentral.